CGAGCCCCUGCAUUAAACUGGUUUGGGCAAAAGGACAGGCAUCGCUGAGAUCCGCAAGGCCGCCGGCCAGCGGCGGGGUCCCCUGUAGGCAGAGCCCUGGGUCACACGCGGACGCGGUCCCGGCGUUUCUUCUCAGGCCCUCAGCCCGGCCCACUUCCUCUUUCCUCACUUUAGAGGGAAUACAGCGAUCCCUCUCAAAACAAAACACACACCAAAACACCAUUUUUUUUUUUUUUUUUAAACAGGAAGUCCAGAGGCCCGGGUCCAGGGCAUCCAGCGCCGGAUCUCGAACGCCCUCCUCGCCCCUCGCCCCGCGUCGCCCGGCUCCGCUCCCCGCCCCGCGUCCACCGCUGGAGCCUGACAGCCCCGCCACCCGCGCAGGCGCCCCGCCCCGGCCCGCCCCGGCCCCGCCGCCCGCGCUCCCAUCCCCGCCCCGGCGGGUCAGAGCCGGUGCCGGGCGCCCAGGGGUUGCCGCGCCGGGCGGGAGGGCCGCGCCUGAGCGGGCGGCGGGGUCGCGGGGUUCCUGCGCGCGGCCCGCCAUGGAGGUGGAGGAGGCGUUCCAGGCGGUGGGGGAGAUGGGCAUCUACCAGAUGUACUUGUGCUUCCUGCUGGCCGUGCUGCUGCAGCUCUAUGUGGCCACGGAGGCCAUCCUCAUUGCACUGGUUGGGGCCACGCCAUCGUACCACUGGGACCUGGCAGAGCUCCUGCCAAAUCAGAGCCACGGUAACCAGUCAGCUGGUGAAGACCAGGCCUUUGGGGACUGGCUCCUGACAGCCAAUGGCAGUGAGAUCCAUAAGCAUGUGCAUUUCAGCAGCAGCUUCACCUCCAUUGCCUCAGAGUGGUUUUUAAUUGCCAACAGAUCCUACAAAGUCAGUGCAGCAAGCUCUUUUUUCUUCAGUGGUGUAUUUGUUGGAGUUAUCUCUUUUGGUCAGCUUUCAGAUCGCUUCGGAAGGAAAAAAGUCUAUCUCACAGGUUUUGCUCUUGACAUCUUAUUUGCAAUUGCAAAUGGAUUUUCCCCCUCAUAUGAGUUCUUUGCAAUAACUCGCUUCCUGGUGGGCAUGAUGAAUGGAGGGAUGUCGCUGGUGGCCUUUGUCUUGCUUAAUGAAUGUGUGGGCACCGCCUACUGGGCACUUGCAGGAUCGAUUGGCGGCCUCUUCUUUGCAGUUGGCAUUGCCCAAUAUGCCCUGUUAGGAUACUUCAUCCGCUCCUGGAGGACCCUAGCCGUUCUGGUUAACCUGCAGGGAACAGUGGUCUUUCUCUUGUCUUUAUUCAUUCCUGAAUCACCUCGUUGGUUAUACUCCCAGGGUCGACUGAGUGAGGCUGAAGAGGCGCUGUACCUCAUUGCCAAGAGGAACCGCAAGCUCAAGUGCACAUUCUCACUAACCCACCCCGCCAACAGGAGCUGCAGGGAGACUGGAAGUUUCCUGGAUCUGUUUCGUUACCGAGUCCUCUUAGGACACACUUUGAUCCUGAUGUUCAUCUGGUUUGUGUGCAGCUUGGUGUAUUAUGGCCUAACUCUGAGUGCGGGUGAUCUAGGUGGAAGUAUUUAUGCCAACCUGGCCCUGUCUGGCCUCAUAGAGAUUCCAUCGUACCCUCUCUGUAUCUACUUGAUUAACCAAAAAUGGUUUGGUCGGAAGCGAACAUUAUCAGCAUUUCUGUGCCUAGGAGGACUGGCUUGUCUUAUUGUAAUGUUUCUUCCAGAAAAAAAAGACACAGGUGUGUUUGCAGUGGUGAACAGCCAUUCCUUGUCCUUGCUGGGGAAGCUGACCAUCAGUGCUGCCUUUAACAUUGUUUAUAUCUACACCUCUGAGCUUUACCCUACAGUCAUCAGGAAUGUUGGGCUUGGAACUUGUUCCAUGUUCUCCCGAGUUGGUGGGAUUAUUGCUCCCUUCAUCCCCUCACUGGUUGAAAUAUGUGCAAUGGUCUUUACCAUUCAUUGUCUUCGGAGCCACUGGCCUGAUCUCUGGCCUCCUGAGUUUGUUGUUGCCAGAAACCGUUAACAGUCCGCUGCUAGAAACAUUCUCCGACCUUCAGGUGUAUUCGUAUCGCAGGCUGGGAGAAGAAGCAUUAUCUUUACAGGCCUUGGACCCUCCACAGUGUGUGGACAAGGAGAGUUCUUUAGGGAGCGAGAGUGAGGAAGAGGAAGAAUUUUACGAUGCAGAUGAAGAGACUCAGAUGAUCAAGUGAAGAGCCCCAGAUUCCCCCUAAGAAGCAAAGGAUCAUCUUUUAUGCCUCUGGCUAAGGCAGGUUCUUCCAUGAAUAUUAAGAGAGUUGUAAAAAGAGAGGCUUGGCUUGAACAUACAUAGAUGGUACCCGGCGUGGACUGAUGUUUUUAGGCACAGAAGUUGGAGAAGAGAUUUCGUGAGAGGCAACAUCACUGCAUUGAGAGAAUAGUUGUUAAUUUGUUUAGAAUUUAAGUUCUGCUCAGAAUCAUAACAUCUGGCAGAGCAGCCCAAACCCACAUGCCAAAGUGGUAGGCUCAUUUGUUUCUAGAGGUUUCAUAAUGUUGCUUUUCCUUCAUCAUGAUCUAAAUAAAGGCAGAUAUGUAAAACUUCUCACUAUUUUGGUGGGGUAAGAUAAGCUAUCCUUAAGAUUUAAUCUUUAUACCAUGUUGGACAUUUGCCCCUAUCAGUUGCUACUCAGGAAUCUUCUGGUACAGGUGGUUAACAUCAACAUUUUAAUUUUGUGUCCAGGAAAAAGCACCCAGAGGUCAUCUAUGUGUCCCGAGACCCUUCAGCUUUUUCUCAGCUGAUGAAAUAAGAGUCCUCAGCUUGGUUCCCAGCCUGCUGGUUGACUUGGGCUCCUCAUGCCUUGAGUCCCACAGAUGAUUCAUUAGGAAAAGCCAGAGGUACCAAAGCGGUUUAUUCAGAGUCAGGAGUGUAGCUCUGGCUGCCUGUCAGCUCCCUUGGAUACUACAGUGUGUGAUUUCUUCCUUUCCCACUAAUACGCACAUCCAGAAAAAUUUCCAUCUGAGAUUCUGGUACUUCAAAAUCAUGAAUAGUAAAUGAGAAAGCUUUAAGUAGAGGGCAGUUAAACAGUGACAUGUUGAGCACCUGGAGGGAAAAAAAAGGUGCAGUUUUUAAUAAUGGAGAAAAUGAAAUUAUCUUUGAUAAAUUUUUAUUUGUGUUGUUUUCAGUAUUGUGCCAUGAAGGAUUUGGACAAUAUUUAAGAACUUGUCCUAGAUCAGCCCCGACCUGUUUAAUCAGAAUGGAAGGUUCAGUAAUUUCACAGGAAAUGUUGGUUUUUCAUUAAGUGCUACCAACUUUCAAGUGAAUCUUACAUUUGAUUUCCUAAAAUCAUGUCUUGAAAACAUGUUUUCCCAUGAAACUUGAAUACUAUCUCAAAUAGGAAUAUAAACCUAGAGUCAACAAGCUUAGGCAGCACUGAUUUAGGUCACUUUCCCAAUGAGGAAAAUUUCUGUGUUUUCAGAAUUUCCAUUUCUACUAACCUCUUGGAGAAAAAGAAAUUGAAUUAGAGGUAAAUAGAAGACAUCACUGUGGCUGCUUCUGGAAGUGCUGGAAACAUCACCCCAAUUGGCUCCAAAUACUGUCAUGUUUUCUUGUACAUUGACUUCUGGUUUCCACUGUAUCAGUGUGUACCUUUGUAAUUGUUAUUUUUAUGUCUUUUAUGCCCUUGAUUAUUAAUUGGGCUCUUCAUAAACAGAGGCCAUCUCUACUACUGUUUAUUUUUCUCUGCUGUGCCCAGAACAUUGGCAUAGACUUAGUAAGACCUAGUAAAUAUUACUGUUUCUAGCCAUCAGAGAGAUUGUGGAACUCCUCCCAGUAUAACUUUUGCAAACUCCAGGCAAAUCUGACCCAAACUCCCAAAUUGUCAAAUCCUGCUUAACUUUCUCUGGAAAAUAAGACACCUUCUCAACAUCAGAAUAGGAAGAGAGGAAGAACUUACAAAGACAUUUAAACGUUCUUCUUAAAUGGUGGUUGGGCAUUUAAAACACUGAACUAACAUAUACAUAAUUUUUGAUUAGUUGGAGCUUUAUUUGUAUUAUAAGAGUAAUAUAUCUCAUUACAGAAAAUUUGGAAACUAGAAAUUAAAAAAUGUAUCACCCAUACGUCCAACAUCGAGAGAAAAUCAGUGUUAUGGCUUUGUUCCAUUUGAAGAUCAAUUGGGAGUGCAUCUCUCUAUUGGCACUGGGUUCGAUUGCCUCUGGCUAAUAGAGUUCAAUUAGUUCUAUCCCUGGGUUUCCUUUCUUAGCUGUGGGGUGGAAGAUAGGAGGGAGAAAUCUACAAUUUGAAUACGUGUUACUUAAUAAGGCUCGGCUGGCCAUCAGUUCCUUAUGUCAGAUAUGUCAUUAAAUUUUUUUUCUAGAUGGUCCUUGAGCAAAACUUAAUAAUUACUUUUUUUUAUUUCCACUGCCUUUAUAAAAUCAAAAUUUCCUCCUUUUGAUAAUAACUGUUGAAUACUAUUGAUGUAGAGAAUGUGUACAUGUGUAUAUUUGCAUUGAUUAAAUUAUUGGAAAACUUUUCAUUGAUAGGUAAUGUAUUUUGAUUGUGCAGGUGGUUUGUAAAAAGUAUCCUUUUUUUAUUCUAUUCAAAAUUAAAUUUUUUUCUCCUAAAAUAAAGCAAGAAAAGUAAAUGUAAGAUAUAUAAGAAACCCUAGAGUUUCCAGGGUGAAAGUUCUCAUUAGCAGCUUGUUCAAAACAUUUACAUCACACAAAUAUUUUGAAAGAAACCAUGUUGAAAUUGUCUGAGUUUGUAAGUUAUAACCACAGCCCAGUAAAACCAAUACUUGUUAUUUGGCUAUUUCCAAGCAAUGCAGAUAUUCUUUAGUAUUUAAAAAUGAGCAAAUAAACAAAAUGAGGCAAAUAAAUGAAGAAAAUGAGUUUCUGAGGCACUGCUUAAGUGACCAUAAAUCAGAAACAUAUUUUUAUGGUGGGCAAAUUGAUGAAGAUACUUUUAGUAAGUGAUUUAUAUUCAUAACAAAUACAUCUUGAAAUAAUGUCACUGCUGUAUCAGAAUUUUAAAAUAGCCUCAUGUUAGGACUUCUCCAUACAAAUUCUUUAUCAUUGGUUCUUAAAUUGGAAAAGUACCUAUAAAUGAUUACAUUUUUUAACUAAAUAAAAUGCAGAUAUUUUGGCUUCUUGUAAAUUUAAUAAAGAAUCAUAAAAC
RNA transcript from Chlorocebus sabaeus (green monkey), 5126 nucleotides. It is a transcript of the gene named solute carrier family 22 member 15, with no coding region annotated. NCBI's taxonomy places the organism in Eukaryota, Metazoa, Chordata, Mammalia, Primates, Cercopithecidae. The record is from RefSeq and is a predicted model, not a curated record.